CCUACGGGUGGCUGCAGUGGGGAAUAUUGGACAAUGGGCGAAAGCCUGAUCCAGCCAUGCCGCGUGUGUGAAGAAGGCCUUCGGGUUGUAAAGCACUUUCAGUGGGGAAGAAAGCCUUGGGGCUAAUACCCUCGAGGAAGGACAUCACCCACAGAAGAAGCACCGGCUAACUCCGUGCCAGCAGCCGCGGUAAUACGGAGGGUGCGAGCGUUAAUCGGAAUUACUGGGCGUAAAGCGCGCGUAGGCGGUCUGAUAAGCCGGUUGUGAAAGCCCCGGGCUCAACCUGGGAACGGCAUCCGGAACUGUCAGGCUAGAGUGCAGGAGAGGAAGGUAGAAUUCCCGGGGUAGCGGUGAAAUGCGUAGAGAUCGGGAGGAAUACCAGUGGCGAAGGCGGCCUUCUGGACUGACACUGACGCUGAGGUGCGAAAGCGUGGGUAGCAAACAGGAUUAGAUACCCGAGUAGUC
This 465-nucleotide ribosomal RNA is filed under the name Vreelandella stevensii. Its description in RNAcentral is "partial 16S ribosomal RNA". It matches the Rfam family "Bacterial small subunit ribosomal RNA", at positions 338 to 795 of the family's 1533-position model. The record is from RNAcentral. Lineage: Bacteria; Pseudomonadati; Pseudomonadota; Gammaproteobacteria; Oceanospirillales; Halomonadaceae.